This 247-nucleotide ribosomal RNA is filed under the name uncultured bacterium. RNAcentral describes it as "partial 16S ribosomal RNA". It matches the Rfam family "Bacterial small subunit ribosomal RNA", at positions 524 to 771 of the family's 1533-position model. The record is from RNAcentral.
UACAGAGGGUGCAAGCGUUGCUCGGAUUUACUGGGCGUAAAGCGUACGCAGACGGUGAGGCAAGUCGGGUGUGAAAGCCCCGGGCUCAACCCGGGAACUGCAUUCGAUACUACUUCGCUCGAGUAUGAGAGAGGAAGCGGAAUUCCUGGUGUAGAGGUGAAAUUCGUAGAUAUCGAGGAGGAACACCGGCGGCGAAGGCGCUUCUGGCGUCAUUACUGACGUUCAGGUACGAAAGCGUGGGUAGCAA